This 8366-nucleotide long non-coding RNA is filed under the name Populus tremula. Its description in RNAcentral is "long non-coding RNA (PTRE_LNC001522)". The record is from RNAcentral. Lineage: Eukaryota; Viridiplantae; Streptophyta; Magnoliopsida; Malpighiales; Salicaceae.
UUUUGACAACAUCUAAAAAAAAAAUACAAAAAACCCUAACCUAAACCCUCUCAUACACAGCCGCCCCCUUUCCUAAAAAAAAAACAAAGAGCCGCCCCCCCCCCCCGGUUAGUUUUUGAUUCCAGCCGCCGGCCAAGACUUGGCUCCCCAUAUCACAGCCACCCGUUCCCCCUCAUCAAGAAAAUCUCCUACCCUUUCUGCCUCUCUCAGCCCCAUUUCCUCCGUCUCCCUCCCUGCCAUAUUUCUUUCUUUCUCAGCCUUCCUCAGCAGCGUCUUCUUCUCCUCUCAGCCAUCGCCUCCUAGUUUCAGCAGCCGUUCCCCCAGCCAAUCGCCGAUCUGCUCUCCUCCAUUCGGCCCCCAGCAGUGGCGGCAGCAGCGCCGUCCUUCUCCUCUCUCUCGGCCACGAUCCUCCAUCUUCACCAACCACCGCUCAACAGCUGCUCUCUUCUCCACAACGAAGUCAGUCUAACGGACGACGGCAGCAAGAGCCCCCGCAGACGACAACAGCAGCGUCGGUCCAUCCCAUCGGCGUCGUCCACAACAGCAACCCCCAGUAGCUCCAUCCACGACAGACCUUCCUUCCCCUUCGCAACAGAACCAUCGCCGGAGAAGAAGAAAGGAACCACGGACAGAAACAGAAAAUAAAACAGAUCUGGAAAACUAAGAAAAAUUAAAAUCGACUGCUGUGUUGUUCUUUGAUUGAUCUGCAGGUUGGCGCCGGCGAGGAAAGAAGGAGGGAGGAGGUCGUUGCAGACCCCCUGUUUUCGCCUUGUUUUCACGGUGGCGCGUGGAUCCACGCGCCGCCAGUGGCGGGGUUGCGUGAGAUCCACGCGCCACCACUGCCACUGCUGUCCCAGCGGCUUCGCAACACUGUUCCGGCGAGUUAGAGGUUUCCAGCACUGUUCCGGAAUGUUUUGAUUCAUUUUGUAAUUUCCAAAUUGUUUUAAUGUAAUAUUUUAUUUAGUUUUGAGUUUUUUGUAAUUUGUAUUUUGUAAAUAUGGAUGGAAAGAAAAGAAAAGAAAAGAAAGAAAUAAUAAUAAAAAGGGAUGUGUGUGUUGGUGUAUUUUUAUUUUUAUUUUGAUUUCAAAUUUGUAUUUUGUAUUUGUAUUUGUAUUGUGGAUGUAAAAGAAAAGAAAAGAGAAAAGAAAAAAGAAAAGAAAUGAAAAUAGUGAAUGUGGUGUUUGUAUUUGUUUUAUUUUUUAUUUUUUAUAUAUUUUUAAUGAUAAAAUUGCAUAUUAAAGAAGAAUUUAAUAUUUUGAUCGGAUCACGGUUAAGAAUUAUUAACUUAUACGUAAGUGAUAUUUCUAAUUUCCGAUGAAAAGACAAUUAUUAAAACUUCUUUAACACGUCAAAGCGAAGCAGCUUACCUCAGGUAGGGUGCGUUAGGGGUGCUAAUACCUUCCCUAACCACAACCAGUCCCUUACCCGCGAAUCUCUGACAAGACCAGUACAUCCGGUUUCCUAGUAGCCCGCAAUCAAUUACUAGGUGGCGACUCCAACGAACCAAUUCAAAGCAAACGUAACAAACGAGACUUAAAUCGCCAGCCGAUGCCGCGCGCGGAUUUGAUAUUUUUUUGGGGUGCGACAGAAUGGCGACUCCACUGGGGAAGGUAUUUUUUCGAUUAUUGGACUAAGCUUUGUGUAUUUGAUGUGUUUAAGUUUUUGCAUUUUUAUCUUUUUGUUAAUAUUUAUUUCCAUGCAUUUUAUAGAAUUGUCUCAUGCAUCACCUGUAUUUAUUUUUAAAAGCACACACAAGCUUCUAGGUUAGGUGGGGAACUAGCGAUCUGCCCUAAGACUAUUGGUCAGGGUUCAGAUGCGUGAAACACCCAACUCAUAUCUGAGUGCCUGCUUGGUAAUGGUGGGUAUACGUGCCUUAACCAUUCCUUGCAACGCCCCCAUACUGUCUUUACGAAGAACGUCACUGGGCAGAUAUGAGACCCUUUUGAGACCAGAUAGAAAACUUACCCAUGUUCACAUAAUGAAUAGAACCUGUCCUUAGGUUGUAUGUGCUAUCGUUUUUUGCAUAAGGGCAAACCCUUCUUGAAGCAUCUUGAACUCAAGACUUGUGGGUGACACAUUGGCCGUUGCUCCGAAAAUUUUCAUUGUAGAGUUUGGGCAAAAAUCACGAUUCUUGUCCAUCAUACAAGAGUUACGACCAUAUUGUCACCUCUCGAAGGGUGAGUUCAUCAUAUAGAUUACAUGUUCAUACAUUUAUCAUGCAUGAACCGGGUCGAAAGUAGGUCCCACAAAGUGUGCUGCACGAGAUUGAAGAAAAAUAUGGAAGUGAACAAAGGAGUCAGAUAGAGGUUCAUUAUCAGAUUAAGGUUGAGAGCAUCAAAGUGAAGUAGCUACUCAGAUCUGCUCGAACAAGUGUUGAGCAUCAAAUGAAAAGAGAAUGUCUGCACAGUUUUCUGUGGGAACACUGCUUGUUCACGUCCAAUUGAAGCUGUACCUUUCCUUUUCAGUCAUGAACAACAGCAACAACGCCUUCAGUCAUCAACUAAUGACAACUCUGAUUCCUGUCCAGUUGCGCUGUUAAGUAUUCAUCGCCUCCACAUCAUCUAAUGGAACCAAACGACUACUAACCUCCUGUUCAUGGUGCAUUAGUCUGCUUUGAAGUUACCCCAAUUAUGAGCUCAAUUCCAGUUCAGCAGCACAAGAUGUUGGUCUGAAAAAAAAAAACCAUGAUCAGACACUGAAUUUCAACGCGGUAGAGCUCUCUCUGUAGAGAUUUAUUUGUGGAUCUGUCAAUGGCAAAUGCAAAAGGGAAUGUAUUAAUUUCAUAUGCUUUGAAACUUUUUCCCACCAGUGGCACCAGCAAAACAUUGUAGUAGGCAGAAGAGUCAGACCUGGUCUGAUAAUAUUAGCAGUUGUCAAACUUCAAUGUGGCAGAGCUCUCUCUACAAAAAUCCAUUUAUGGCUCUGCAAAUUGGGAAUGCAAGAGGGGAUUUACUAAUUGCAUAUGCUACAAAUAUUUCUCUCAUCAGUUUCAGCACGAAGAAACUAUAGCAGGUUGAAGAGCCAGACUUGGCUUGAAAAAUAUGAGCAGACAUCAAACUUCAACGUAGCAGAGCUCUCCCGACAGGAAUCUGUUUGUGGAUCCGCAAGUGGGAAAUCCAAGAAGGAAUACAGUAGUUUCAGAUCAUUUAUGAUUUUUCUCCAACAGUGUCAGUAUUAAAAUGCAAAAGUAGAGAGAAGAUACAUGCCUAGACUGAAAAACAUGAAGAAUACUGAAACUUCAACAGAGCAGGACUUCCUCUAUAGGUGUUUGUUUGCUGCACUGUCAGUGAGAAAUGGAAGAGGGGACAAAGGAGUUUUAGAUUCAUCAGGUGCUCUUCCAAUAAAGACAAUGUGUGAUUCCACACGUCGGUAGUGGCGAUACUACAAGUUUCUGGGCGCUGCCAAGAUUACCAAGCUGUUAGAAAGUUUUCUAACAAUCCUCAACCAACCAUAGCAACAUUGGAAGAUUGAAAUAAUGUUGAGGAUUUGCCGAAGAAUUGAACAAGCUAUGAAGAGAAGAAAGAUUGAAGGAUCUGCCAUGGAUUCUAGAACAAUGAUGAGAGGUGAAUCAGGAGAUGACUUUGACGUGUGAACCCUUAAUUAUGUGGUAUAGCCAGGUCUCACGGCAUCAUCAAUUGCUCAAAUAUCUUUGCCAAGAUGGGACAUUCCUCUGCCAUUUAAGUUUGUCGACCAGCAUCUGCAGAUUCCAGAAUUUUGCUUGACUCCGACAAAUCCCAUGCAACCACCAAUUUCUAGGGUAUAAUCCAGAUAAGAGAUGUGAUGUCAUGGUGGGGUCCUCAACCAUUUCAAGUGAACAGUUUCAAGAAUUGCAAGAAUGGAGUCUGAAAGUUGGUGAGCAAGAGACAAGUGGAGUCGUUGAAGAAGGGUGUCACUGGCUAUAUUGUUCCCCGAACAUCUUCAGAAUGACAUGUGAUCGAAAAUGCUUGGCAAACACAGAUAUUGCCAGAAAAGCUGAUUCGAGAAUGGUGAUGAACAGUCAAUCAUAUUGUUAUGGAAUUCUGCAUUUUGUUUUGGGAUCACAUCUCAUCCUUCAACGAAACAUGCCUUGCUUUUGUCUCUUUGUUGUUUUGAAAUCAACAGAUGUUUAGCAUUUUAUUCUGACAAAAUAUUUUGAUCAAACUCCAACAUGCGAUAAAGGUUAAUCAAUCCGGAAGAUUAGAAGUGUUUUGAUUACAGAAAUGACUCUAUGCUUGAAAAUGACAUGAGGUGACCAAACAAUUUUGAACUCAUACCUUGAAACUGAACCACACAUCAUAUAGCUAAGUUUUAACAGUAUGCAUAAUGACAUGUAGUGGAUUCGGUAGUUGGACUCGUGAAUCAUGAUUCUUACAAGUCCCAAUCAUUACACUGGAUGAGGUCAAAAUUUAUCGGUUCUAACCGACCUUGCUUGAAAUGAGAAAAGGCCAUCUUUGAUAUCCCUUCACUUUCUAAAGAUUAUAUCCCUUGCAGUCCCAUUUUGAGCCUGGUAAAAUAUUUUCUUUCAAAAAAGAAACCCUGACUAGGAUCACACCCCACACUGGGGGCAAAUGAGAGAUAUUUUGGAGACAUUGAUAUAAUUAAUGGAUAAAGGGGAAGGCUUAGAACAAAGGUCCAAUGAUUGAGAGAGAGCUAAAAGAAAACACAUAGACUGGGGGCAUAUAAAAAUUUUGAGGAAGGCUAUGAAAAAAAAAAAAAAGAAAUGAAAAAGGAAGUUGAAAUUGCCUUCACUUAAAUACAAGUCAAAGAUAAAGGAAGGAGAACGCCUAUCAAGUCUAUGAAGAGCAAAAGAAAUUUCAAUCAAGGAAAGACAAAAAAGUCAAUACCAGAAAAAGACUAAGCUAUAAACGUACUUUUGGUUCCAUUAUAAAGCCUAUGAUUGAGGUUGAUUAUUCAUCAAGGAAAGGGAUUUGCAUUAUGACUUAUGUUAAGAGAAUUCUGAAUUUGAGAUUAACAAGGUUAUAUGUCGUUUCCUCUACAAAGACACAAGAGAAAGAGAAUCGAUGUUGAUCCUAGGUCUUUGAAACCCUCAAACACCUUUUGAGCCUUUGAAAUUCCUUUCUUUCAUAGCCAUGAACCAUAGCCUGCAUUACAUGCUUUUAAAAGCCCUUUUUAAUCAAGCAAGCAAUUUGAACGAUAAAUGGCGCUUCAAAACUUGAAGAGUUUUUCCAUAAGGGUCGUGACUUCAUGAAUUAAGCUACUGGUUAUUAUGCAUGCUGAUAAAAUAAAUGCUAAGAAAAGAAACAACCUUUCUUGAUAAAGCCUGAGCAUCUUGUUUUUUAAAUUCAUAAAAAUGCACCUCAUCAUAACUAUCAAAUGAUAUACCCAAUAUCAAGGAUUCAAAUGAUACAAAGAACCAUGGAAAAAGCCAUUUUUAAUCUACAACGGUUGUCAUUUCUGUUUUCAAGAUACAAGACAAUCAAAGGACUGCAUUGAAUAGUGUGUUGGGUCUUUGACCAAAGAAGUUUGAAUUUCAAAAAAAAUAUUUUCAAAAAGACAUCUCUGAUUUCAUUUCAACAUUUAGAUUUGAAUAAGACAUGAUCGUUGAAAUGUGAUCAACAUUUCUCGACACUCUUUGAAACGUUGACCACUGGGGGCAAUACAGUGGACCCUUGGAAGAAAAGCAAAUAACAUUCUAAUCAGCUGGGGGCAAAGAAAGAAUCAGAUGAUGAGUCAUCAAAAUCCCGGAAAGUUAUGUUUAGCAUCUGACAAUGACAAAGAAAAACCUUCUUGAGUAUAAACCGAUGAACGAACCUUCAGAUCAUAUUGGGGGCAAUGUUGUUCAAAGACAAUCCAUGAUCUAGUGCACUUCAGCAGCAAUUGAUGAGCAACGCUGCACUUGAAGGAUAUUUUCAUAUCUUCAGCUUGGGUUACCCUGUAAAACAUGGCUAUGACUCCUGACAGAUGUUAUCUGGUAUUUUCACGAUCUGAUUUGACAAGCUAAGAGGAAUCCAUAGAGAAAUACAUCGCGCUUACAAUGAUGAGUUGUUUACUGCAAAGCAUGAGAUACAUGUCUGGAUGACUUGGCAGUUCCAUGAAUGCUGGUGACCAUACAUACUUAAAUGGUGUUUCAACCGAAGGCAAGUUCAUGACUGAUUAACAAACGUGAUGGGUGUUGGCAUGAUGCACACAAUCAAUCAGAGGAUAAUUUCUCAGAAGAAGCCAGGAGAGAAAAUCUCUCAUGAUGAAUCAAGCAGUACUACACUUGGGGGCAGGGUCAAGCUUCAUGAACGAUGCAAGCAGUAAUUGUUGAAGACAGCCCGGGAUGGGCACUGCAUUUACAGUUGAGUGGAUGGCUAACAUGAAUGAGCCAAUACAUCGGAAGAACAAAGAAAGCUUUGGGAUACAAACAAAGGUACCCUAUGACGAUGGAGCAUCAAAGAGGGGGGACCUAUUUUUCAAAUCAGGUAAGGAUGCAUGCAUAUCAUCUAACCUCAAAAAAAAAAAAAAAAAAAAAAAAAAAAACAUUUGCACAUUUUUGAAUUGUUACAGGAAAUCCUUAAUGAGGUCCAACAAGAUGGUGGAAAAAGAAAGAAGCAUGGUGGUGGUGAUAAUAAAGAAUCGAUUUUGAUCAUGGAAUAAAAGGACGAUGGGAUGAACCCUACCAUUAGGAAAAUCCCAAAGAAAUGAAUAGAUCAACCUCGCAACCGGGAAACCUCGAGUUUUCGACCCUUGCAGUCAGGAAACACUGAGUUUUCAAACCCUAUGAUCGGGAAUUAUCAGGAAGCACCAAGUUUUCCAGCCCUACUUCUGUCAUCCCCUCAGGACUUCGCCAGGUAAGUCCUAUUUUUCACACUUGUCAUAUCACAUUUUUUCCAUCUGGGUAGGUCGCCCAUCAUAAUAAGACCGUUCUUCAUAUUUUUUCCAUCCGGGUAGGUCACCCAUGACAAUGAGACCGCAGUUUUCCACAUUUUUUCCAUCCGGGUAGGUCACCCAUGACAAUGAGACUGCACUUCAUCAUUUUUUUUUUCAUCUGGGUAGGUCACCCAUUACAAUGAGACCACACUUCAUAUUUUUCCACGUGGGUAGGUCACCCAUUACAAUGAGACCACACUUCACAUUUUUUCCAUUUGGGUAGGUCACCCAUUACAAUGAGACCAUCAUAUUUCUGGGGUUCGUCACCCAUACAAUGAGACCAUCAUUUUUUUUUUGGGUUCGUCACCCAUACAAUGAGACCAUUUCUCACACAUUCUUUUGUUUUGGUUAAAUGAGGUCGCCAGAUGGGAUCUCGGGUAGCUUUGGUUAAAGGGAAUCGCCAGAUGGGAUUUCAGGUUAACCGAGUUACGUAUAUUUCGUUCCAAUUGAAUGAGGUCGCCAGAUGGGAUCUCAUGUAGCUUUGGUUAAAGGGAAUCGCCAGAUGGGAUUUCAGGUUAACCGAGUUACACAAUAUUUUCGUUCCAGUUGAAUGAGGUCGCCAGAUGGGAUCUCAGGUAAACCCAAUGUGUGGGCAGGUCGCCCGUGAAAAUAGACUAUUGGGACAGUGUGGGUCGGUCGCCCGUGAAAAUAGACCAGAGUGAGUAUGUGUGGGCAGGUCGCCCGUGAAAAUAGAUCAGUGUGAGUGUGUGGGCAGGUCGCCCUAGAUAAUGAAAUCAUUUCCUUUUGUUUUCUUUACAAAGCUUACUAUGUAAAAUUUUGAGGAGUUUUGCUUCGUAAGCAUUGUAAAGAGGGGGCAUCUGUUUGCUACCCAAUUUUUACCCAUGUUUUGAUAUAUUUUCAAAAAUCCAAAAAAUGAGAAAAACAAAGAAAAUCCAAAAAAUAUGUUUUUUAAUAUAUUUUCGUCAUUUUAGCAUUUUCAACGUCGUCUAAAAAAGGAAUUAAAUUGUUUAAAAUAUUUUCAAACGCGUUCGACUUUUCACGCGUCAUUUUUUAAAUCAUUUAUUUUCCGCAUUUGAGUCAACGUUGAUUUUGCUCGUUUUCAAAAAAAUACAAAAAAAAAAAAAUAAUAAAAAAUCAAAAUUUACAAAAAGAAAGAAAUUGAGGGACCAAGUUGAAAAACCUAGCAACAUUUUUGCCUAUAAAUACUGGUCUUUAACUCAAAUAAAAGGGGGUAAUUUUGACAACAUCUAAAAAAAAAAUACAAAAAAACCCUAACCUAAACCCUCUCAUACACAGCCGCCCCCUUUCCUAAAAAAAAAAAACAAAGAGCCCCCCCCCCCGUUGGUUUGAUUCCAGCCGCCGGCCAAGACUUGGCUCCCCAUAUCACAGCCACCCGUUCCCCCUCAUCAAAAAAUCUCCUACCCUUUCUGCCUCUCUCAACCCCAUUUCCCUCCGUCUCCCUCCUGCCAUAUUUCUUUCUUUCUCAGCCUUCCUCAGCAGCGUCUUCUUCUCCUCUCAGCCAUCGCCUCCUAGUUUCAGCAGCCGUUCCCCCA